Molecule: ribosomal RNA, 621 nt
Filed under: Triticum aestivum (bread wheat)
Lineage: Eukaryota; Viridiplantae; Streptophyta; Magnoliopsida; Poales; Poaceae
Description: partial small subunit ribosomal RNA
Source: RNAcentral
AUGAAGAUCGAGAGGAUGGCCGCGCACGCUCCGUGGGGGAGUUCAGGUGACGUCGUCGACGCCGACCACCGCCUCGGUGCCCAGCUGGGCUUCACGGGGUCGUUCGUCAUCGGGGUUUUCGCGGCGGCAGUCACGGCCGCCGUGGCGGCGUGCAUCUGGCGGCGCUGCAUUCGUAAGCCAUUGCCUCCGCAGCAGCAGCAGCAAGACCAGCAGCACCACCACCACCACCAGCAAGAUCCGCCGCCGCCGCCGCAGGAGCACUUGCUGCAGUGGCUGCAGCAACUCGGCGGCGGCGGCGGCCACCGCUCUUCGGCGGCCGAAGACGGAUCCUUCGCCAGCGAUGUCCAGCAGCAAGGGCUCGCUUCGUUUAGCUUCAGCGGCAGCGGCAGCGGCGGCGGCGGCGGAUCGGCCAGCGGCGCACCGGAAGGGCAGGGGGAGAGCGGCGGCGGAGCACCGGGAAUGCAGAGCGGGAGCAGCGGUGGCGCAGCGGAACGGAAGGGGGAGAGCAGCGGCGGAUCAGCCAGCGGCGCACCGGAAGGGCAGGGGGAGAGCGGCGGCGGAACACCGGGAGGGCAGGGCGGGAGCGUCGGCGGCGCACUGGACGGGGAGGAGAUGGUAUAG